GACGAACGCUGGCGGCGUGCUUAACACAUGCAAGUCGAACGGUGAAGCGCCUUCCUUUUUGGUGGGUGUGGAUGAGUGGCGAACGGGUGAGUAACACGUGAGUAACCUGCCCCCUUCUUCUGGAUAACCGCAUGAAAGUGUGGCUAAUACGGGAUAUUCUGGGUCUGUCGCAUGAUGGGUCUGGGAAAGAUAUUGUUUCGGUGGGGGAUGGGCUCGCGGCCUAUCAGCUUGUUGGUGGGGUGAUGGCCUACCAAGGCGGUGACGGGUAGCCGGCCUGAGAGGGUGGACGGUCACACUGGGACUGCGACACGGCGCAGACUCCUACGGGAGGCAGCAGUGGGUAAUAUUGCACAAGGGGCGCAAGCCUGAUGCAGCGACGCCGCGUGAGGGAUGGAGGCCUUCGGGUUGUGAACCUCUUUCGCCAGUGAAGCAGGCCUGCCUCGUUUGUGGGUGGGUUGACGGUAGCUGGAGAAGAAGCGCCGGCUAACUACGUG
This 494-nucleotide ribosomal RNA is filed under the name uncultured bacterium. Its description in RNAcentral is "partial 16S ribosomal RNA". It matches the Rfam family "Bacterial small subunit ribosomal RNA", at positions 28 to 507 of the family's 1533-position model. The record is from RNAcentral.